GUAAGUAGGGAAAGCACAUAAUAAUAUCAUCAUUUUACCCAAAAGGAAACAAAAAGGAGAAAACUACACUUAUUUCAUUUGAUAAAGAGACUUCUCUUUCCUUCUCUAUAUUUUUUCACUUCCCUCUUCUUCCUCCUCCUCCUUCUUCUUCUUCUCUCUUUGGGAGAAUAUCUAAAUAAAAGAGAGCAAAAGAAUUAAAGAGAAGAGCUACAAAAAAUAGCUAUGAAAAACGCCAUUAGAUGUUGUAUAGCUUGUAUUCUACCUUGUGGGGCACUUGAUGUAAUUCGAAUAGUUCAUACAAAUGGUAAAGUUGAAGAAAUAAGUGGAAAUCAUGUAAAAGCAGCUGAAAUCAUGAAACAUCAUCCAAAACAUGUUUUAAAAAAACCAUCUUCAUCUUCUUCUUCUUCUUCUUCGUCUUCUUCUUCUUCAG
This 430-nucleotide long non-coding RNA is filed under the name Nicotiana tabacum (common tobacco). Its description in RNAcentral is "long non-coding RNA (NTAB_LNC012201)". Lineage: Eukaryota; Viridiplantae; Streptophyta; Magnoliopsida; Solanales; Solanaceae. The record is from RNAcentral.